Molecule: ribosomal RNA, 470 nt
Filed under: uncultured Magnetococcaceae bacterium
Lineage: Bacteria; Pseudomonadati; Pseudomonadota; Magnetococcia; Magnetococcales; Magnetococcaceae
Description: bacterial SSU rRNA
Rfam family: Bacterial small subunit ribosomal RNA
Source: RNAcentral
AACGAACGCUGGCGGCACGCCUAACACAUGCAAGCCGAACGGUAACGGCUCUUCGGAGGCCGACGAGUGGCGGACGGGUGAGUAACGCGUAGCUACCUGCCCUCUGGCGGGGACAACAGUUGGAAACGACUGCUAAUACCGCAUAUCUCCUACGGGAGAAAGACCUUCGGGUCACCAGAGGAGGGGGCUGCGUUGGAUUAGCUAGUUGGUAAGGUAACGGCUUACCAAGGCGACGAUCCAUAGCUGGUCUGAGAGGAUGAUCAGCCACACUGGAACUGAGACACGGUCCAGACUCCUACGGGAGGCAGCAGUGAGGAAUUUUGGUCAAUGGGGGAAACCCUGAACCAGCGACGCCGCGUGUGGGAUGGACGGGGCUUUGCCUUGUAAACCACUGUCAGGUAGGGAAGAAAGCCCCGCUUAGCGGGACAGGACUGUACCUACAGAGGAAGGGCCGGCUAACUACGUGCCAG